RNAcentral lists this ribosomal RNA (919 nucleotides) under uncultured archaeon. Its description in RNAcentral is "bacterial SSU rRNA". It matches the Rfam family "Archaeal small subunit ribosomal RNA", at positions 1 to 922 of the family's 1478-position model. The record is from RNAcentral.
UUCCGGUUGAUCCUGCCGGAGGCCAUUGCUAUUGGAGUCCGACUUAGCCAUGCUAGUCGCACGGGUUUAGACCCGUGGCGAAUAGCUCCGUAACACGUGGCCAAGCUACCCUACAGAGAGCCAUAACCUCGGGAAACUGAGGCUAAUAGCUCAUAUACAUCUCGAACUGGAAUGCUGAGAUGUCUAAACGCUCCGGCGCUGUAGGAUGCGGCUGCGGCCGAUUAGGUAGACGGUGGGGUAACGGCCCACCGUGCCGAUAAUCGGUACGGGUUGUGAGAGCAAGAACCCGGAGACGGAAUCUGAGACAAGAUUCCGGGCCCUACGGGGCGCAGCAGGCGCGAAACCUUUACACUGCACGCCAGUGCGAUAAGGGGACUCCAAGUGCGAGGGCAUAUAGCCCUCGCUUUUCUGUACCGUAGGGAGGUACAGGAACAAGUGCUGGGCAAGACCGGUGCCAGCCGCCGCGGUAAUACCGGCAGCACGAGUGAUGGCCGAUCUUAUUGGGCCUAAAGCGUCCGUAGCUCGCCAGGCAAGUCCAUCGGGAAAUCCACCCGCUCAACGGGUGGGCGUCCGGUGGAAACUGCUUGGCUUGGGACCGAACGACCCAACGGGUACGUCUGGGGUAGGAGUGAAAUCCCGUAAUCCUGGACGGACCGCCGAUGGCGAAAGCACGUUGGGAGGACGGAUCCGACAGUGAGGGACGAAAGCUAGGGUCUCGAACCGGAUUAGAUACCCGGGUAGUCCUAGCUGUAAACGAUGUUCACUAGGUGUGGCACGGGCUACGAGCCUGUGCUGUGCCGUAGGGAAGCCGCUAAGUGAACCGCCUGGGAAGUACGUCUGCAAGGAUGAAACUUAAAGGAAUUGGCGGGGGAGCACUACAACCGGAGGAGCCUGCGGUUUAAUUGGAAUCAACGCCGGA